This 429-nucleotide ribosomal RNA is filed under the name Chloroflexota bacterium. RNAcentral describes it as "Chloroflexi bacterium partial 16S ribosomal RNA". It matches the Rfam family "Bacterial small subunit ribosomal RNA", at positions 355 to 776 of the family's 1533-position model. Lineage: Bacteria; Bacillati; Chloroflexota. The record is from RNAcentral.
UGGGGAAUAUUGCACAAUGGGCGCAAGCCUGAUGCAGCCAUGCCGCGUGUAUGAAGAAGGCCUUCGGGUUGUAAAGUACUUUCAGCGGGGAGGAAGGGAGUAAAGUUAAUACCUUUGCUCAUUGACGUUACCCGCAGAAGAAGCACCGGCUAACUCCGUGCCAGCAGCCGCGGUAAUACGGAGGGUGCAAGCGUUAAUCGGAAGUACUGGGCGUAAAGCGCACGCAGGCGGUUUGUUAAGUCAGAUGUGAAAUCCCCGGGCUCAACCUGGGAACUGCAUCUGAUACUGGCAAGCUUGAGUCUCGUAGAGGGGGGUAGAAUUCCAGGUGUAGCGGUGAAAUGCGUAGAGAUCUGGAGGAAUACCGGUGGCGAAGGCGGCCCCCUGGACGAAGACUGACGCUCAGGUGCGAAAGCGUGGGGAGCAAACAGG